RNAcentral lists this ribosomal RNA (395 nucleotides) under uncultured bacterium. RNAcentral's name for it is "bacterial SSU rRNA". It matches the Rfam family "Bacterial small subunit ribosomal RNA", at positions 505 to 898 of the family's 1533-position model. The record is from RNAcentral.
GUGUCAGCAGCCGCGGUAAUACGGACCGUCCAAACGUUAUUCGGAAUCACUGGGCUUAAAGGGUGCGUAGGCGGUCCGGUAAGUCGGGUGUGAAAUACCUCAGCUCAACUGAGGAACUGCGCCCGAAACUGCCGGGCUGGAGGGAGACAUAGGUGAGCGGAACCUAGGGUGGAGCGGUGAAAUGCGUUGAGAUCCUAGGGAACACCAGUAGCGAAAGCGGCUCACUGGGUCUCUUCUGACGCUGAUGCACGAAAGCCAGGGGAGCGAAGAGGAUUAGAUACCCUCGUAGUCCUGGCCGUAAACGAUGAGCACUGGUUUGGAGGCUCCUCCAUAGGCUUCCAGACGUAGCGAAAGUGUUAAGUGCUCCGCCUGGGGAGUAUGGUCGCAAGGCUGAA